CUUCUCAUCAAGCCCUAUUCUCCUCAAUGGGUUUUUGUGAAAAAGAAAGCAAAUCAUGGUGUAAACUAUCUUUCUUUUUUCUCUUUCUUGUUACAAACCUCUUGCAAAGUGAGAAAGCAAGAAUCUGCUUGACAGAUGGGGCAACAUGAUUCAGCAAAUGAAGAAAAAGGCAAAGAGUUGUGGACAGAAAGGCACGGGUGUAAGAGUCCUGAAAGAAGUUGAACCAAAGGUAGCCAAGCCAAGCCAGGCCCAGUAGGCAGAAAUGGGAGUUCCCAGAAGGACAUGGGUGGCUUAUGAUGAAGACACAAGCUAUGAGACCAGCCCUCUGGCUGUUGGAGAGGAUGAUUUCCCUGACUGUUACAUAGAAUAUAGUCAGAGGGGAUUUUAUUGAAUCUAUCCUGGGAGAAGAUUCACUUUUUAAGUCCUUUGACUGCCUGGAGGAAGGAUUUUAUUUGAUAUGUCAACCUACUGGAGAUCUUCACAUGUUUUAGAGACCACAGUGGCUAUAUCAUGAAGAAUGGAUUAUAAAGACGAGAGAUUGUUACCCCAUCCAGUUAAGAGAUGGUAGUUCAGGGGGUAGAGUGGUAAUCAGAAAGGUGGGGAGAUGGGCAGAGAUCCUGGAUCUAUUGGAGGGCAUGUGGUCAGGCAGGCUGGAUGUUGGAUAUGGGGUUCAUGGAUGGUGCAGAAUUGAAGAUGAUUUUUGGAUUUAGAGCUUGAGUAGUUUUGUGGACAGUGGUGCUAUCUAUAAAGAUGGGAAAGGCUAGGGGAGGGUGAUGUGCUUCAUUUCUUAAAUUUCUCCUAUGGAAGAGUAUUUCCUAACACCCAGGACCUCCUAAGAUCUUGAGCAGUGAAUUGAGGUGGUGAAUCCUCACCAGGUUGAGCACAGAUGACGCACAGGCUGCAGGAAGAACAUUUAAAACUUGUAUUUAAGCCAAGUAAUGGCAGCCUAGGUGCCCAUCAACAGAUGAAUGAAGUACAAAUAUGUGGCAUAUAAACACAGCCAUAAAGAAGAACAGAAUUAUGUCAGGAAAGGGGCUGGGGUUGUAGCUCAGUGGUAUAGUGUUUGCCUAGCACACGUGAAGCACUGGGUUCAAUCCUUAGCAACCACAUAAAAAUAAAUAAAUAAAAUAAAGGUAGUGUGUCCACCUACAACACACAAACACACACACACACACACACAGAGAAUUAUGUCAGGGAAAUGAAUGGAACUAGAGAACAUCAUGUUAAGUGAAAUAUGCCAGACUCAGAAAUUCAAAGGUCC
RNAcentral lists this long non-coding RNA (1261 nucleotides) under Marmota monax (woodchuck). Lineage: Eukaryota; Metazoa; Chordata; Mammalia; Rodentia; Sciuridae. The record is from RNAcentral.